RNAcentral lists this long non-coding RNA (832 nucleotides) under Panax ginseng (ginseng). Its description in RNAcentral is "long non-coding RNA (PGIN_LNC004407)". The record is from RNAcentral. Lineage: Eukaryota; Viridiplantae; Streptophyta; Magnoliopsida; Apiales; Araliaceae.
CUCUCUCGUUUUUUCUUAAAAAUCCUAAAUGUCAUCAACAAACCAAUAUUCAGUAACACAGAGUUCCUCAUCUCCAAAUUCAGUAACACAGUUUCAAAGAGCACGAAAAAGAACUCUUUCAUCAACACAAGAAUGAAAUUGCCGACGUAAACAACCACUCCACAGCGGUGGCACUUGCUGGCAAACAACCACUCCACGGCGGUGGCACUUGCUGAUUUUCCUUUCCUCUCCAUCGCUGCCUCCACAAAGUUGCAGAAAAAGAAGGCCCAACCCAUAUCCCUGGGAUCUGGAAUUUGCCUAAAAAUAGAGGAGAAGAGUAGUGGUAGUUUUUAAAAUAAAUAAAUACAUUUAAUUUGAAUUUGUAGUGAAGAAGAUGAUGAAUUAGAUUUGGAUUUCGGCUACUUCCGGCUACGGAUCUAGGUUGUUGGAGUUUUAGAACUUGGUUGCUUUGAUUUUGAUGAGUUUCAGAUUUUUGAUUUCGAAUUAUUUUUUAUUUGAAUUUGUGGUCUAGAUGUUUGGCUUGUUGAUGGUGGUGGUUAUGGAUGAUAGUAGAUGGCGGCUCUGUGAGGAGGAUGAAGUUUUUAUUUUUUUUAUUUUUAAAAAAAUUUUGGGGUCGUGGGGUUAUUCGAUUAGGGGUUUCUUGUUAAACAGAUCGUAAGGUGGAGGGAGCUUGGAUUUGUCGAUUCCUUUUGUUGUUGAUAAUGUUGUUCUUGGGUUUUCUUCUUCGGAGUCUGAGUUUUUAGAGUCUAAUGAAGAUUGGGAAGAGUUGAUUUUGGUGGAGAAUAGUUUAGUGAAGAAGGGUUUAUGGGAAUUUAGUGAAAUGAGUGUUUUG